UGGGGGAUAUUGCACAAUGGGCGAAAGCCUGAUGCAGCGACGCCGCGUGAGGGAAGACGGUUUUCGGAUUGUAAACCUCUGUCUUCGGGGACGAUAAUGACGGUACCCGAGGAGGAAGCACCGGCUAACUACGUGCCAGCAGCCGCGGUAAUACAGAGGUCUCAAGCGUUGUUCGGAAUCACUGGGCGUAAAGGGUACGUAGGCUGCAUCAUAAGUCGGGCGUGAAAGGCAGGGGCUCAACCCCUGGAGUGCGCUUGAUACUGUGAUGCUAGAGUCAUGGAGGGGGAACCGGAACUCUCGGUGUAGCAGUGAAAUGCGUAGAUAUUGGGAGGAACACCAGUGGCGAAGGCGGCCUGCUGGACAUUAACUGACGCUGAGGCGCGAAAGCGUGGGGAGCAAACA
RNAcentral lists this ribosomal RNA (402 nucleotides) under uncultured bacterium. RNAcentral's name for it is "bacterial SSU rRNA". It matches the Rfam family "Bacterial small subunit ribosomal RNA", at positions 355 to 774 of the family's 1533-position model. The record is from RNAcentral.